AACGCACAUGGCGCCUUCCAGUAUCCUGGGAGGCAUGCCUGUCCGAGCGUCGUUUCAACCCUCGAGCCCCCGUGGCCCGGCGUUGGGGAUCUGCCACGGCAGGCCCCGAAAUCCAGUGGCGGACCCGCUGGGCCCUCUCCUUGCGUAGUAGCAUCAGCCUCGCAUCGGGAGCCCGCGUGGCAUCCUGCCCCUAAACCCCCCGCAAGCCCGCCCCGGCGGCACCAAGGUUGACCUCGGAUCAGGUAGGAAUACCCGCUGAACUUAA
RNAcentral lists this unclassified non-coding RNA (265 nucleotides) under uncultured fungus. RNAcentral's name for it is "sequence contains ITS2". The record is from RNAcentral. Lineage: Eukaryota; Fungi.